CGUCUAAUACCCGGAUACGAGCUGCGAAGGCAUCUUCAGCAGUUGGAAAGAAUUUCGGUCAGGGAUGAGCUCGCGGCCUAUCAGCUUGUUGGUGAGGUAAUGGCUCACCAAGGCGUCGACGGGUAGCCGGCCUGAGAGGGUGACCGGCCACACUGGGACUGAGACACGGCCCAGACUCCUACGGGAGGCAGCAGUGGGGAAUAUUGCACAAUGGGCGGAAGCCUGAUGCAGCAACGCCGCGUGAGGGAUGACGGCCUUCGGGUUGUAAACCUCUUUUAGCAGGGAAGAAGCGAAAGUGACGGUACCUGCAGAAAAAGCGCCGGCUAACUACGUGC
This 335-nucleotide ribosomal RNA is filed under the name uncultured Microbacterium sp. RNAcentral describes it as "bacterial SSU rRNA". It matches the Rfam family "Bacterial small subunit ribosomal RNA", at positions 160 to 508 of the family's 1533-position model. Lineage: Bacteria; Bacillati; Actinomycetota; Actinomycetes; Micrococcales; Microbacteriaceae. The record is from RNAcentral.